GGGUUCCAUUAUGUUCAAAUAAAAAACUUUAGGUGUAAUCAGAUUACUAGACCUAAUUUGAUUUACCCAUGCCCAAUCCCUCAUUCAUAAACUUAAAUUUUAGAUCUAAAUUCUAAAUUUUAGAUCUAAAUUAUUUACAUGAAAUAAAAUAUUGUGAUUUCGAAACUACUUUUCAGACCUAAACAAUCAUUCAUAUAUCUCAUAUAUGAUUAAAAUCAGAUCUAAAAAAUGU
RNAcentral lists this long non-coding RNA (232 nucleotides) under Elaeis guineensis (African oil palm). RNAcentral's name for it is "long non-coding RNA (EGUI_LNC007389)". Lineage: Eukaryota; Viridiplantae; Streptophyta; Magnoliopsida; Arecales; Arecaceae. The record is from RNAcentral.